AGAGUUUGAUCCUGGCUCAGAUUGAACGCUGGCGGAAUGCUUUACACAUGCAAGUCGAACGAUGAACCUUAGCUUGCUAAGGGGAUUAGUGGCGAACGGGUGAGUAAUAUAUCGGAACGUGCCUUGUAAUGGGGGAUAACUAGUCGAAAGAUUAGCUAAUACCGCAUACGCCCUGAGGGGGAAAGUAGGGGAUCUUCGGACCUUACGUUAUAAGAGCGGCCGAUAUCUGAUUAGCUAGUUGGUGGGGUAAUGGCCUACCAAGGCGACGAUCAGUAGCUGGUCUGAGAGGACGACCAGCCACACUGGAACUGAGACACGGUCCAGACUCCUACGGGAGGCAGCAGUGGGGAAUUUUGGACAAUGGGCGCAAGCCUGAUCCAGCCAUUCCGCGUGAGUGAAGAAGGCCUUCGGGUUGUAAAGCUCUUUCGCAAGGGAAAAAAACUUACAUUCUAAUAAAGUGUGAGGCUGACGGUACCUUGAUAAGAAGCACCGGCUAACUACGUGCCAGCAGCCGCGGUAAUACGUAGGGUGCGAGCGUUAAUCGGAAUUACUGGGCGUAAAGCGUGCGCAGGCGGUUUGGCAAGUCAGAUGUGAAAUCCCCGAGCUCAACUUGGGAACUGCGUUUGAAACUGCCAGACUAGAAUAUGUCAGAGGGGGGUAGAAUUCCACGUGUAGCAGUGAAAUGCGUAGAGAUGUGGAGGAAUACCAAUGGCGAAGGCAGCCCCCUGGGAUAAUAUUGACGCUCAUGCACGAAAGCGUGGGGAGCAAACAGGAUUAGAUACCCUGGUAGUCCACGCCCUAAACGAUGUCUACUAGUUGUUGGUGGAGUAAAAUCCAUGAGUAACGCAGCUAACGCGUGAAGUAGACCGCCUGGGGAGUACGGUCGCAAGAUUAAAACUCAAAUGAAUUGACGG
RNAcentral lists this ribosomal RNA (914 nucleotides) under uncultured bacterium. Its description in RNAcentral is "bacterial SSU rRNA". It matches the Rfam family "Bacterial small subunit ribosomal RNA", at positions 8 to 916 of the family's 1533-position model. The record is from RNAcentral.